UUGACGGGUCCCCGCACAAGCGGUGGAGCAUGUGGAUUAAUUCGAUACUAACCGAAGAACCUUACCCAGACUUGACAUCGACGGCAAGUCUAUGAAAGUAGACCCUCUUCCCACAAGGAAGACCUGAAGACACCUGCUGCAUGGCUGUCGUCAGCUCGUGCCGUGAGGUGUUCGGUUAAGUCCGACAACGAGCGCAACCCUCGUCUUAUGUUGCCAGCGGGUAAUGCCGGGAACUCAUAAGAGACUGCCCGUGUCAAACGGGAGGAAGGUGGGGAUGACGUCAAGUCAGCAUGGCGGUUACGUCUGGGGCUUCACACAUGCUACAAUGGGCGAAACAAAGGGCAGCAAUACCGCGAGGUGGAGCUAAUCCCGAAAAUACGCCCUCAGUUCAGAUUGCAGUCUGCAACUCGACUGCAUGAAGGCGGAAUCGCUAGUAAACGCAGGUCAGCUAUACUGCGUUGAAUACGUUCCCGGGGAUUGUACACACCGCCCGUCAAGUCACCCGAAUCGUCUGCACCCGAAGUCCGUGGCCCAACCGUAAGGAGGGAGCGGCCGAAGGUGUGUGGGGUAAGGGGGACUAAGUCGUAACAAGGUAACC
This 598-nucleotide ribosomal RNA is filed under the name uncultured bacterium. RNAcentral describes it as "bacterial SSU rRNA". It matches the Rfam family "Bacterial small subunit ribosomal RNA", at positions 910 to 1501 of the family's 1533-position model. The record is from RNAcentral.